GCUUAACCGAAGAAGUGCAUCAGAAACUGGGUGACUUGAGUGCAGAAGAGGACAGUGGAACUCCAUGUGUAGCGGUGGAAUGCGUAGAUAUAUGGAAGAACACCAGUGGCGAAGGCGGCUGUCUGGUCUGCAACUGACGCUGAGGCUCGAAAGCAUGGGUAGCGAACAGGAUUAGAUACCCUGGUAGUCCAUGCCGUAAACGAUGAGUGCUAGGUGUUGGAGGGUUUCCGCCCUUCAGUGCCGGAGCUAACGCAUUAAGCACUCCGCCUGGGGAGUACGACCGCAAGGUUGCAACUCAAAGGAAUUGACGGGGGCCCGCACAAGCGGUGGAGCAUGUGGUUUAAUUCGAAGCUACGCGAAGAACCUUACCAGGUCUUGACAUCUUGCGCUAACCUAAGAGAUUAGGCGUUCCCUUCGGGGACGCAAUGACAGGUGGUGCAUGGUCGUCGUCAGCUCGUGUCGUGAGAUGUUGGGUUAAGUCCCGCAACGAGCGCAACCCUUGUUACUAGUUGCCAGCAUUCAGUUGGGCACUCUAGUGAGACUGCCGGUGACAAACCGGAGGAAGGUGGGGAUGACGUCAGAUCAUCAUGCCCCUUAUGACCUGGGCUACACACGUGCUACAAUGGUCGGUACAACG
RNAcentral lists this ribosomal RNA (637 nucleotides) under uncultured bacterium. RNAcentral describes it as "bacterial SSU rRNA". It matches the Rfam family "Bacterial small subunit ribosomal RNA", at positions 607 to 1244 of the family's 1533-position model. The record is from RNAcentral.